Molecule: long non-coding RNA, 1651 nt
Filed under: Chloebia gouldiae (Gouldian finch)
Lineage: Eukaryota; Metazoa; Chordata; Aves; Passeriformes; Passeridae
Description: Erythrura gouldiae (Gouldian finch) lncRNA (ENSEGOG00005017801.1)
Source: RNAcentral
CCACCUGGAAGACGUUGCUCUUGUGGCCGCUGUCGAACUGCAGCACGGGCCGGCGCCGCAGCCAGUCCCACACCAGCACCUUGAGGUCGUCGCUGCCGCUGGCCAGGCGGGUGCCGCGCUGGUUGAAGUGCAGCGUGUUGACGCAGCCCGUGUGCCCCUCCAGGCCGUGCUGCAGCCGCAACUUCUGCACGAAGAGCCGGGCGCCGCAGGCCUGCGCCACGAAGCGCGGGCAGCCGCCCAGCUGGCGCUGCCGCAGCGCCGGGAUCGCCCGCCAGCGCGGCCGCGGCAGCGCCCACGUCUCCGAGGCCACCUGCGGGGACAGCGGCUGUUGGCACCGGGAGCGCCCCGCCGCCGCCACACGGGGUGGGCAGGGGUCUGUCACACGGCGGGCAGGGGUCUGUCACACGGACAGGGGUCUGUCACACGGAUAGGACUGUCACACGGACAGGGGUCUGUCACAAGGCGGGCAGGGGUCUGUCACACGGCGGGCAGGGGUCUGUCACAUGGUGGGCAGGGGUUUGUCACACGGCGGGCAGGGGUUUGUCACACGGCGGGCAGGGGUCUGUCACACGGCGGGCAGGGGUUUGUCACACGGCGGGCAGGGGUUUGUCACACGGCGGGCAGGGGUCUGUCACACGGCGGGCAGGGGUUUGUCACACGGCGGGCAGGGGUCUGUCACACGGCGGGCAGGGGUUUGUCACAUGGCGGGCAGGGGUUUGUCACACGGAUAGGACUGUCACUGGACAGGGCUCUGUCACCUGUUACAGGUGAUGGACAGGGCUCUGUCACCUGGACAGGGGUCUGUCACACAGAUAGGACUGUCACCCGGACAGGGGUCUGUCACUGGACAGGACUGUCACCCGGACAGGGGUCUGUCACUGGACAGGACUGUCACACGGACAGGGGUCUGUCACCUGCUACAGGUAAUGGACAGGGGUCUGUCACACAGACAGGGGUCUGUCACUGGACAGGACUGUCACAUGGACAGGGCUCUGUCACACGGACAGGGGUCUGUCACUGGACAGGACUGUCACUGGACAGGGGUCUGUCACCUGGGCAGGGGUCUGUCAUAUAGGCAGGACUGUCACACGGACAGGAGUCUGUCACCUGCUACAGGUAAUGGACAGGGGUCUGUCACCUGUUACAAGUGAUGGACAGGGGUCCGUCACACCGACAGGGGUCUGUCACCUGCUACAGGUAAUGGACAGGGCUCUGUCACCUGGACAGGGGUCUGUCACUGGACAGGGGUCUGUCACACAGAUAGGACUGUCACACGGACAGGGGUCUGUCACCUGGGCAGGGGUCUGUCACUGGACAGGGGUCUGUCACACGGGCAGGGGUCUGUCACACGGGCAGGGGUCUGUCACACAGAUAGGACUGUCACACGGACAGGGCUCUGUCACAUGGACAGGGGUCUGUCACAUGGACAGGACUGUCACAUGGACAGGGGCCUGUCACCUGGACAGGGUCUGUAACCUGGGCAGGGGUCUGUCACCUGCUACAGGUAAUGGACAGGGGUCUGUCCAUGGACAGGGCUCUGUCACACAGAUAGGACUGUCACACGGGCAGGGGUCUGUCACUGGGCAGGACUGUCACACAGACAGGGGUCUGUCACCUGGGCAGGGGUCUGUCACACAGACAGGGGUCUGUC